AGGUUAAGCUCUUAUUCUAAGCCCAUGUGGAAGUAAACCUUCUGCAAUAUAUCUUCAAAUUGACGGGAAAGCCCUAAUAGCAAUCUUAACUAACUUAAUAUAGAAAUAUAAUUAAGGGCGCAGGUAAUGACUCGCGAGAUAGUAAAAUCAAGAUUGAUUUACGAAAGUAAAAUGGGUGAUCCGCAUCCAAGCUUCACAUUAAAUGGGAAGAAGGUUCAUCGACUAUAUGGAGGUAGGCAUUUUAUUUAUAAGUUUAUUGACUGGUAAAUUGAUUGCUUAAGAUAUAGUCAAGCCCCAAUGGAAACAUUGCA
Intron RNA from Gaeumannomyces graminis, 311 nucleotides. It matches the Rfam family "Group I catalytic intron". From Rfam's summary of the family: Group I catalytic introns are large self-splicing ribozymes. They catalyse their own excision from mRNA, tRNA and rRNA precursors in a wide range of organisms. The record is from Rfam. Lineage: Eukaryota; Fungi; Ascomycota; Sordariomycetes; Magnaporthales; Magnaporthaceae.